UUCAUUACGAUGACUGGGUAAGUAAACAAUCAAAUUUUUUUAAGAGAGCUUCGGUAGCUGAAAAGAAGUAAAAAGGAAAUUGUUGAAAAUGGCCUAUGAGUAAUUUGUCUUCGAGCCCUAGGUAAGAAGAUAACGGGAGCGCCCGAUAUAGCGCUAGAGUAUGCUGGUACUUGAAGAGGAAUUUAGUGUGAGCUAAAUUCAAAAUGAGGUGGUAACACGCAAAAAAGCGUCCUCAAG
Molecule: non-coding RNA, 237 nt
Filed under: Enterococcus dispar
Lineage: Bacteria; Bacillati; Bacillota; Bacilli; Lactobacillales; Enterococcaceae
Description: T-box sequence
Rfam family: T-box leader
About the family: Uncharged tRNA acts as the effector for transcription antitermination of genes in the T-box leader family. T-boxes are found upstream of many aminoacyl-tRNA synthetase genes and some amino acid biosynthetic genes usually in Gram-positive bacteria.
Source: RNAcentral